Molecule: ribosomal RNA, 160 nt
Filed under: Pleopsidium chlorophanum
Lineage: Eukaryota; Fungi; Ascomycota; Lecanoromycetes; Acarosporales; Acarosporaceae
Description: 5.8S ribosomal RNA
Rfam family: 5.8S ribosomal RNA
About the family: 5.8S ribosomal RNA (5.8S rRNA) is a component of the large subunit of the eukaryotic ribosome. It is transcribed by RNA polymerase I as part of the 45S precursor that also contains 18S and 28S rRNA.
Source: RNAcentral
AAAACUUUCAACAACGGAUCUCUUGGUUCUGGCAUCGAUGAAGAACGCAGCGAAAUGCGAUAAGUAAUGUGAAUUGCAGAAUUCAGUGAAUCAUAGAAUCUUUGAACGCACAUUGCGCCCUUUGGUAUUCCGAGGGGCAUGCCUGUUCGAGCGUCAUUAC